UAAUAGGAAAUUAAGUGUAUAUGGUGGAUGCCUAGACUCUAGAAGGCGAUGAAGGACGUAGCAUGGCGACGAUAUGCUUCGGGGAAGUGCCUAGCAACUUUUGAUCCGAAGAUUUCCGAAUGGGGAAACCCAAUUUCGGUAACACGAAAUUGUCUUGCGAUUAAUCGCAUGACGUGCACCCUGGGAAGUGAAACAUCUCAGUACCAGGAGGAACAGAAACUAAUCAGUAUUCCCCCAGUAGCGGCGAGCGAAAAGGGAGAAGCCCAAACCUACGUACUACACUGCGUUUCGUACAUUGCGGAUAUGUGCGGAUGAGACGCUGAUUGAUGCGGAAAUUUUCUGCGUUGAUCUGCGUUUUAUCUGCGAUAAUUUGCGACGCACGGAGCAUAGCGUAGUGCGUGGGUGUUGUAAGGCAGAGACGUAGUUUACUAGGAAAGUUACAAAAGGUUUUCUUAAACGAAACCGCUGGGAAGCGGUGCCAUAGAAGGUAAUAGCCCUGUAGUUGAAAAUUAAACCUCUUUCUUGUCUCUGAUCUUGAGUACCUCGAGGAACGACAGCCUUGAGGGAAUCCAGCGGCACUAACCGCUAAGGCUAAAUACAUCUAGAGAUCGAUAGUGAACAAGUACCGUGAGGGAAAGGUGAAAAGUAGCCCGAUAAGGGCGUUGAAAUAGAUCCUGAAACCAUAUACAUACAAGGAGUCGGAGUCUGCGUACUACACUGCGUUCGUCGCGAAGUGCAAAAUGCAAAACGCAAAGUGCAAAACUGCAAUGCAAAAGUUGAGAAUUUAAAAACUUUUUAACUUUGAACUGAAAUNNNNNNNNNNNNNNNNNNNNNUAAGCAACGAGCAUAGCGUAGUGCGUGGAUGACGGCGUGCCUAUUGAAGAAUGAGCCAACGAGUUUAUGCCUGUUUCUAGAUUAAUCCGCGAUGGCGGGUAGUCAAAGGGAAACCGAGUAUUAAUAGUGCGCUUUCUUGUUUUUUAAAUCCGAGCUCGGGCUUUCGAGCCUGGAUUUAAGAAACUUGAAAAGUAGCAGGCAUAAGACCCGAAGCCAGGUGAGCUUGCCAUGAGCAGGGUGAACCCCACAGAAAUGUGGGGGGAGGCCCGAACCGAUAAGCCGUGCAAUACUUUCGGAUGACNNNNNNNNNNNNNNNNNNNNNNNNNNNNNNNNNNNNNNNNNNNNNNNNNNNNNNNNNNNNNNNNNNNNNNNNNNNNNNNNNNNNNNNNNNNNNNNNNNNNNNNNNNNNNNNNNNNNNNNNNNNNUCUCGUCAACUCUAUCAAACUCCGAAUACCGGUGAGUAACUACUAGGCAGUAAGACUACGGGCGCUAAGGUCCGUCGGUCGAAAGGGAAACAGCCCAGACCAUCAUCUAAGGUCCCUAAAUCUACGUUAAGUGUACUUAAGGAGGUGAAAUUUCUCUGACAAUGAGGAUGUUGGCUUAGAAGCAGCCAUCAUUCAAAGAAAGCGUAAUAGCUCACUCAUCAAGAGAUUUCGCGCCGCAGAUAAACGGGGCUAAACGUAGUACCGAAGAUAUGGAUGUCAGGUGUCUCACUAAUGUUCGACACACGCAGAUUCAUGCCGAUAAAACGCUGAUCUUUGCGGAUUUUCUCCGCGAUAAUCUGCGUCUCAUCUGCGCUUAUCAGCGUAAGUGGCGAGUGUUAGCGAGACACUUGGCAUGGUAGGAGAGUGUUUUGCGCCGCUGAGAAGCCUAGACGCGAGUCAAAGUGGAGCGCGCAGAAGUAAGAAUGUUGGCACAAGUAACCGCAAUCAGGGUGAGAUCCCCUGACACCGAAAGACUAAGGUUUCCUUGGCAAUGGUGAUCAUCCAAGGGUUAGUCGGGCCUAAGCCGAUGGCGAAAGCCGCAGGCGAUGGACACACGGUUAAUAUUCCGUGACUUUCUUUCAAAUCGAAGGAGGGACGGAGUCUAGUAUGUAGAGCGCAUUAUUGGAUUUGCGUUCGUAGGGUCAGGAGAGGUCUUUGGUAAAUCCGGGAUCUGGUGCAUGAUCUGCACGCCUCCAAGCCAAGCGAAAAUCCGGCGGGCAACCAAUGGAGAUUUUACAAAGCAGGCUUCCAAGAAAAGCUUCUAAGAUUAUUUGAAGGAAACCCGUACCACAAACCGACACAGGUAGUCAGCUCGAGUAGAGUAAGGUGAACGAGUGAGAGAUCCUCAAGGAACUCGGCAAAAAAUCGGCCGUAAGUUCGCAAUAAGGCCUGCCCAUCUAGUAUGGGCCGCAGCUAAAGUAUCCCUGGCGACUGUUUAUCAAAAACACAGCUCCCUGCAAACUCGCAAGAGGAAGUAUAGGGGGUGACGCCUGACCAAUGCCAGAAGGUCAAAUAAGUUUGGUGAUGCCGCAAGGUUGAGCUGAGUUUAUAAGCCCUGGUGAAUGUCGGCGAUAACUAUAAUCGUCCUAAGGUAGCGCAAUUCCUUGUCGGGUAAGUUCCGACGUGCACGAAUGGCGUAACGACUGGGGAACUGUCUCGAGGAUUCGCUCGGUGAAAAUACAGUGGGGGUGAAGAUGCCCUCNNNNNNNNNNNNNNNNNNNNNACCCCAGAAGCUUUACUAUAGCUUGAUAUUGAGUAUACGUUUUUCCUGCGUAGCAUAGGUGGGAGGAUUUGAAGUGAUGAUUUCGGUUGUCAUGGAUCCGACAGUGAAAUACCACUCUUGAAGGAUGUAUAUUCUAACCAUAAGGGCAAAAACCUUACGAGACAGUAUCUGGUGGGUAGUUUUAUUGGGGCGAUAUCCUCCUAAACAGUAACGGAGGAGCCUAUUAAGGUUGGCUAGGCGCGAAUGGAAACCGUGCCGAUAGUGUAAUGGUACAAGCCAGCUUGACUGCAAGGCGUGCAUGCCGAGCAGGUGCGAAAGCAGAGCAUAAUGAACCGACGAUUCGCAUUAGACGCGGUCGGAGAUUAACGGAUAAAAGCUACUCUGGGGAUAACAGGCUAGUUGUGCCCAAGCGUCCAUAGCGACGGCACAGUUCGGCACCUUAACAAAUCGGGGUGCUAUGCCAGUAAUGGCAUAUAGCUGAUCUGAUUUUUAGAGAAUAGGAGCUCUAGAGUCAGACAAAAUCGUGGCUUAUAACGGUGGACUCCAUAUGAUAUAAUUAUAUGGACAAUACCGUGGGAAGUUUAACUCAAACAGAACGAUCAAUUAUUUUAGGUUCGCUUUUGGGCGAUGGAUAUUUACGCAUUGUUCAAGGACGCAGAAAUGCUUUACUUGAAGUGAAUCAUUCAUUGGCUCAAAAAGACUAUGUUGAUUGGAAAUAUAAGAUGUUAAAAUCUUUGUGUAAAAGUUUACCAAAAGAACGAAAAGGAAAUGGCGGUAGACGAGCUUAUCGUUUCAGUACAAGGCAACAUGAAGAACUAACAAAAUUAUUCAAGCUUUUUUAUCAAAAUGGCAAAAAAGUGAUUCCAACGACCUUAGAACUUAAUUCAAUAAUGUUAGCAAUCUGGUACAUGGAUGACGGAAGUAAAUGUCGGGAAAGCGAUGUUUAUCUCAACACUCAGCAAUUUACUGUUCAAGAUCAGUUGAAGUGCGUUACAGCACUGGCAAAAAUUGGUGUGGAAAGUAGUCUGAAUCGAGAUAAACAAUAUUGGCGAAUAAGAAUUAAAAAAUCUUCUUUGCCUAAAUUCUUUGCUGAUAUUUCUCCCUAUGUUGUUCUAAGUAUGAGAUAUAAAAUGAGUUAUAACCCCGUAGAGACUUGUUUACUCCGCCAGAAAGCGGAAGUAACGGAGUCGUCUUUAUUGUAAAAAGACGGCUAAGACGCCACCACCUUCAUUGAUCUGAAGGUUGAAGAUAUAGUCCGAUCCUCCCAGUAAUGGGAGAAAAAUGACAGCGAUGUCGGCUCAUCUUAUCCUGGGGCUGGAGAAGGUCCCAAGGGUUUGGCUGUUCGCCAAUUAAAAAGAUACGCGAGCUGGGUUCAAACCGUCGUGAGACAGGUUGGUCUCCUAUCUACUGCAGGCGAAGACAAUUGAAGAGAUUUGUUUCUAGUACGAGAGGACCGAAAUGAACUGACCUCUGGUCUGAGAGCUGUCCUGCCAAGGGCAUCGCUCUGCAGCUAAGUCGGGAAUGGAUAACCUCUGAAAGCAUCUAAGAGGGAAACCAACUCUAAGAUUAAUUGUCAUUAUGAGACUCCUGGGAGAUUACCAGGUUGAUAGGCACUAGGUGUAAGCACAGUAAUGUGUUAAGCCGUGGUGUACUAAUUCGUCCAUUCCUAUUAGG
Non-coding RNA from Candidatus Vogelbacteria bacterium, 4215 nucleotides. The record is from Rfam. NCBI's taxonomy places the organism in Bacteria, Candidatus Vogeliibacteriota.